Molecule: long non-coding RNA, 321 nt
Filed under: Malus domestica (apple)
Lineage: Eukaryota; Viridiplantae; Streptophyta; Magnoliopsida; Rosales; Rosaceae
Description: long non-coding RNA (MDOM_LNC013264)
Source: RNAcentral
AGUCUAUCAUAAAGAGGACAACACUUUUAAUGUCAUAGUUCUUCACUUACAAAUCGUUGUAUUAAAAAAUAAGAGUUGCUUUGAACAGCCCUUAGUUAAUGCAAACACUAGUGCUUGUUUCUUUGAUUAAAUGAACAAAGAACUUGAGAAGAAAGCACAAGGGCAUGGACACUUUAUGUGCCAUAAUUCUUCACUUACAAAUUGUUGUAUGAAGAAAUGAGAGUUGCCUUGAACAACUCUUGAAAGUUUGUAAUUAUGUUUAGAACAUAAUGGUUGGUUGACAAAAAAAUAGUCCAUCAACAUGGACUUAUGAUGAUUUUG